Long non-coding RNA from Myotis brandtii (Brandt's bat), 117 nucleotides. RefSeq lists it as uncharacterized. The transcript is spliced from 3 exons. The record is from RefSeq and is a predicted model, not a curated record. NCBI's taxonomy places the organism in Eukaryota, Metazoa, Chordata, Mammalia, Chiroptera, Vespertilionidae.
AGCCAGCAGGUGGGUGCCAUAUCUGAGUCUCCAUCAACCUGGCUCACACUGUACGCUCUGCCCUGCUGAUUCCCUGUGACCCCACCUGAUCCAAUUUGUAGCCCCACUCAAGCUGUU